This 253-nucleotide ribosomal RNA is filed under the name uncultured bacterium. RNAcentral describes it as "partial 16S ribosomal RNA". It matches the Rfam family "Bacterial small subunit ribosomal RNA", at positions 524 to 776 of the family's 1533-position model. The record is from RNAcentral.
UACGUAGGGGGCAAGCGUUGUCCGGAUUCAUUGGGCGUAAAGAGCGUGUAGGCGGCCAGGUAGGUCGGUUGUGAAAACUGGAGGCUCAACCUUCAGAGGUCGACCGAAACCAUCUGGCUAGAGUCCGGGAGAGGAGAGUGGAAUUCCUGGUGUAGCGGUGAAAUGCGCAGAUAUCAGGAAGAACACCGACGGCGAAGGCAGCUCGCUGGGACGGUACUGACGCUGAGGCGCGAAAGCGUGGGGAGCGAACAGG